RNAcentral lists this transfer RNA (62 nucleotides) under Senga ophiocephalina. RNAcentral describes it as "tRNA-Ala". Lineage: Eukaryota; Metazoa; Platyhelminthes; Cestoda; Bothriocephalidea; Bothriocephalidae. The record is from RNAcentral.
ACGAGGUAUUUUAUAAAGAAUGUUGGGUUUGCGUCUCAAAGGAGGAUAUUAAUCUCUUCGUU